This 620-nucleotide ribosomal RNA is filed under the name Ciliophora sp. RNAcentral describes it as "SSU rRNA". It matches the Rfam family "Eukaryotic small subunit ribosomal RNA", at positions 341 to 980 of the family's 1831-position model. The record is from RNAcentral. Lineage: Eukaryota; Ciliophora.
CUACCAUGGCAGUCACGGGUAACGGAGAAUUAGGGUUCGAUUCCGGAGAGGGAGCCUGAGAAACGGCUACCACAUCUAUGGAAGGCAGCAGGCGCGUAAAUUACCCAAUCCUGAUUCAGGGAGGUAGUGACAAGAAAUAACAACCUAUGUCCUCACGGACUGUGGAUUGUAAUGAGUUUAAUUUAAAACACUGAACGAGGAACAAUUGGAGGGCAAGUCUGGUGCCAGCAGCCGCGGUAAUUCCAGCUCCAAUAGCGUAUAUUAAAGUUGUUGCAGUUAAAAAGCUCGUAGUUGAAUUUCUAGUCAACCGUUAGCUGGCUUCACAGUCGUUAACGAUUGCCUAUCCGACAUUGAACUAUAAUGGUUAUUAAGUUAACCUUAUAGCGAACUGUCAUUUUACUUUGAAAAAAUUAGAGUGUUUCAGGCAGGCAAUUGCCCGAAUAUCUUAGCAUGGAAUAAUGGAAUAGGACUUUGGUUCAUUUGAUUGGUUAUUGAAUCAGAGUAAUGAUUAAUAGGGACAGUUGGGGGCAUUAGUAUUUAAUUGUCAGAGGUGAAAUUCUUGGAUUUAUUAAAGACUAACUUAUGCGAAAGCAUUUGCCAAGGAUGUUUUCAUUAAUCAA